UAUGUAUAUGCCUUCAUAUAUAAACUGGUGGUUUAUUAAAAACACAUACUAUAUAAAAAUACUAAAAUCCAAAAAUAUUGAAAAGUUGAUUUUGGUAAGAAAUAAUAUUCAUGUGUGCAAGGUGUACUCAAUUUGCUGUUUACAGCAAGUUUCUCCAAUGCAUAUCACACUUUGUGUUUGUUGGCAGGACUACAAAGACUUUGCUCAAAUUAUAUUCUCAAAAAAUUAUUCUACUGUCAAAAUACAUUAUUUUGCUACAUAAAAUUUUGUAGUAAAUUUUUUAUUUAGAACGAAUAUCAGUUAUUUUAAAAAUUAAUUACAAAUAUUGGAUGACGUAUGAUACUUGAAUCUUUUUGUUUAUUAACACUAUGUUUGGAGGUUUGCUUAUGUUUCAUCAUAAUGUAUCAUAUUAUAUUGUAUUGUAUGGUUCUAAUGAAUACAAUGUUUGGAUAAUUCUCCGUCGUCACCACAUAUCCAUAACUUGAAUGAUAAAUCUACAAGAAAGUAGGAUAUGAGAUAGAACAACUAUGAAAAGGUUAAUUAGGUAAGGUAAAGGAUAAAAUAGAAUUGUUAAAUAAUAAGUAAAGACAAAAUGAGAAGAUAAUAUUAAGGUAAUAACGCGAUCACACCAAAUCUAUUGUUACAUAAAAUGGUUCUAACAGUGGAUUUAAAUGAUACGAAACAAUAUAAUUUCAGUAACAAUCAAAACAAACAUUGUAUGGAUCAAACUAACAAUACAACACAAUGGGUGUCAACCAAUAUCCAAACAAGGUGUAAAGCAAACCAUUAAAACUAUAGUCAUUUAGGUGCCAAUAAGAGUCGUGGAUGAAUAUGAUUCUUUCACUUUAGUUAAAAAUUUCAGGUUCGAGUUUUAAACAUGAAAAAUGAAAUCAUAUUAGAGAGAAUGACGUAACUACGAAUAUCAAACAAAACCAAAAAAAAAAAUGAUAGAAGUUGUUAGGUGUCCUUCCUUGUCAUUAGUCCUUGAUUAACAAAUCAAUAUUCCUUAAUCACCUCUUUUAUUUAUAAUCACCCCCAUGUGCUUUGCCAACGUAUUAUCAUCACCUCUAUGGCCCUACUUAUCAAAUCAUUAAUCAAACAUAUAUUCAUCAUUCAAUUAUUUUAUUUGAAUUAUAUUUGAAUUAACCUUCCAAUCAACCCCCAUUCCUCAUAUAUAAAACUCUAUUUUUAGUCAUUAUAUUUAUCUAUAAGUAGGUAAAAACACUAUUCCUAUCAAUUAUUGAUGGAUAAUCCGACCUGUUUAAUUUGUUGCAUUUGUUUUAAUUAAAUUUUCCAUUCAAGGAAUAAAACCUAUUUUUUUUCCUUUUGUCAAUAAGUAAAUAGGAGUUUGAACAUGAUUUGGUUGAAAUUUAAAAAUAUAUAUAUAUUACUAAUUGAAAUUAAGCUGGGGAAAAAUAUUUAGAAGUUAAAAUCGUGUUUAGCCAUUAAAAUAUAGUUAAAAUUUUAUAGGUGAAACGUGAAAAUACUUGAAAAUCGUCUAGAUCUUAUUUUUAAAUUUUAAAUUGAAAUAACCCCGACAAGACAAUUGCUGACACCACAACAGACCCCAUUUGGAUUUAAAACAUUUUGAAGAAGUUCAAAAUAAAAACAGCCAUUAUUUAAAAAAAAAAAGAGAGAGAGAGAGAGAAGUUAUAUUUGAACAAAAUGAUUUUUCGAAGGAAACAUAAGAGGUUUCAUUAAAGCCGCCUCUAUAUAUGUUGUCGAAUAAUAAUUUCUCCAAAUAUAAUUCUACAACACUUUGUUGUGUUUGACACAAAGAAAAAUAGUUUUCAUGAAAAAUGGUUUUGUGAAAAAUGAAUAACUUAUUAUUAUUUUUUGCUACUCUUACGAGAGUAGUUUUUUUCUUAGUAUAAUUGCUAGAGAGAUAGACCGAUACCAUUCUGAACAUGUUAUACUAACUUUGUUUUUCAAAUAUUAGGUUCACCAAUCUUUGUAUUAUAUAUUUUGGACCUAUAAUUUUUAAAAUUUAACAAUUCACAUUAAGACCUAAAGAUUAAAUCGAUUAAAUUUACAUCUUAAAUGCAUUUUUUCGUAAUAGUGCGUCAUCCUGAAUACACCUCUGUAAAAAAGUAUUCAAGUUAGUAAGAGAGCAAAGUUGGUAGAGUCAAACCAACACAUAAUUGCUCUGGCUCCAUGGUACGUAAACGGCAAACUACUUAUCCUAAAAACGUUAUAGUUGAACUUGUAUAUGAUCAAGUGAGAGCAUGCGUCCUAGUCUAACUCUUUUUAGGUUUGUUUAGUAGCGAUUUAAAUAUUACUCAAUUAUCAGUUAAAGCAAAAUGAAUAUGACUAAAUAGAGUGAUGUAAAGAGUAGUGAAUGUAAAUCCAUUAUGUUAAUGUGAUUACAAGUGAGUCUAAUAGCCUUUGCUCCAAGAGUAUCCUUGUAUGAAUAUGUUAGACAAGGUAAAAAUAAACUUGAUGCUCAAGAAUAUUGAUGUAUAUUCCUACAAACAAGCUCUUGCAGUGACAGAGGCAGGCCUAAGGGUUGCAAGCCCAUCCAAUUCAAUUACACAAAAAGAGAAACCUAUGUCGAUUAUGAAUCGAAAGUCGUCGUUCGUUAGACAAGGCCCACGUGCUGUGCAUCUCUGGUGUUCUGCUCGUGUAAGUUCUCUGUUCCAAACAUUUCCUGAAAGUAGACGACAAGUUUUAAAUCUUAAUGCAGGCAAGGCAUAUCUCGUUGAAUCAGUCUUUUUCGCCACAUCGCGUAUAAGGGGAAUCGAACCCCCUCUGCUGCUGGCCUAGCGCGCUUAAUCAAUCCGUUGCUUCUUUCCUAAUCCCAUCAUCAUUCAAACUACAAACCAUAUAAUUAACCAACCAACCAACCAGAGUUGAGUACUCAUUUAAUUGGAUGGCAGUAAUGUAAUUUGGGUAGAACAAGGAGGGCAGAUUUGAAAAGAGGAGAUUUGUUUUGACGGCGUGAUUUUUGUAGAAACCAGCGAAGCCACGUGAGCAAGUUGGAUUUAAGGUCCCACGCCACCUAUGAUUGACCCAUUUGCUAGCUGUCAAUUUCUUUUACCCAUUUUGCCCUCAAUAUUCUUUUCUAAUUCAUCAAAAUCACCUACUCCAAUCAUUAUUUCUUCAAAUUAGUCAAAACCAACCAAUUCAUAACUUGAAAUGACAAUAAUACCCUUCAAGGAAUCGUUUUGGUAGCUCGUUAGAGUUACGCCGAUAUUAGUAAUGUAUGAAUUAUUUUUAUGGGUAUUAGUUAUGCAAAUAUUAGUUAUUUCAGUUUUUUUAUAGCAUAAGAUAAUACAUAGAUUUUCUCGUAACUUAUACAUGUAUUAAUUAUGUAGAUUUUCAAACUGCAAACCAAACACGUAUUAAUUUUAUGCAUGAAUAAUUGACCUCCUAACUAGCUAUCAAACAUGAUAUUACUUGUGCAUGAUUCAAUACUUACUUAACUGAUCGCCUUCAAACUAGCUAUGAAACGACCCUUUAUUAUAUGUAUCUCAAUUGUUCAUUAGGUUCAUGUUAUCUUCCAUCAGAGCAAUUAUGACAACCAAUGUUUAAGCAAAUAAAAACUAAAUACGUACUCAAGAUGGUUUAUCUCCGUUGAGAGUCGAAUUUUAAUAUCUCAUGGUUUUUAUCUACUUAUUGACUAGUAAAUCACAUUCAUGUGAGACUUAUUAUCCAAGAAAAGAGAUAGAUAAAUGAUUAUUUUUUUUGUCUUAGUUCAGUUCAGAUUUUAAGAGUAAAAAAAAUUCUUUGACUACGACUUCUAAACAUCUUUAAAUAUUUUGAAUUGAUAAUUAUUAUAUGAUUUAUAGUACAUUAGGUUGUUUUCAAAUACGUAAUUUUCAUCUCUAACACAAUAAAAAUUCCGUGUUUAAAUUUAUGUUAAAAACUAAAACAAAUGACUCUCAAAAUUCAUACCUUCACAUAAAUUAAGACGAAUGAAGUAUUUAAAUUAAUUAUGUAAGGGUUAAUUUGGUAUUUAAAUUAAUUACUAUUUUAUUUUAUUUUCUAAAAAAUAAAAAUAAACAUGUGUGUUGUGCAAGUAUCCAAUGCUCAAUUCUACAUUCAUCCCUGUUCACAGAAAAAGCCAGAGGUGAGAAAGCAUGGUGGGGUAGGUCAUUUUGGUGAUAGACACAGGGAUAUACGAAGUGGUGGAGUCAGAAUAUUUUUUUUUAGGUUCAAAACAUUAAUAAGUAAUUCAAUAAUAUAUAAAAUCAAUAAUAAGUACUUUAUUAGUUUAGUUAUCCGUUUCGCAUAUUUACAAAUCAAUAAUUCAAUAAUAUAUAAAAUCGAAUCGAACAGACCGAUGCAAUUUGGCUCCACAGCUGGAUAUAUGUGUAAAUAAUGAGAAAGAGAAGGAGUAUUUGUAGUUGAAAAUAAGUCUUUGUUGGUAUAAGGCCUUGCCAGGUCCUUAUAUUUGGAAGCACAGUUGGCUACAAAUAGAAAAGUUAUUUUAUGAAUUGUCCACUUAUAUAUAACAACAGUUAUCUGUUAUUAUUAUUAUUUGAGAGCAAAUAUAUAAUAGCAAACAAAGAAGAGAGAGAUUUCAGUUUGCUUUCUUCAUAUUCAUGUAAGUGAAACAUACAAUACUCAAUUCUUUCUUGCUUUCUUACUACAAAAAGGUUAUGAUCAAUUUCGUCGUUAAAUUGUUCGUAGCUAAAUAAAUAAAAAUUAUAUAGAAUUAGCAACGAAUUUUGUUGUUUAGCUAUAAAAUUUGUCAUUCGUUAACUCUUACUUUUCAGUAGCUUUUUGAUAAUAUAUUGUUAAUUCAUCGCUGAAUAGGAUUAGCAACGGAUUUUAUUGUUAAUUAGCUACAGAUUUUUUUUUAUCAUUAAUUCCUAUUUUUCAGUAGUUUUUUUUGUAUAAUAUGUUGCUAAUCCAUCGAUAAAUAAGAUUAGCAACAAAAUUUGAGAACAGUAGGAUAGACUCGAGGUUAAUUCUUUCUUUUAGGUGUUCUAUCUAUUGUUAAUUCCUAUUUUUUCAGUAGUUUUUUUUUUAUAUAAUAUACUGUUAAUCCAUCGUUAAAUAUGAUCAGCAAUAAAGUUUAUUAUUUAGCUACAAAAAUUCAUCUGUCGUUAAUUCUUAUUUUUCUCAGUAGUUUGUUGCUAAUCCAUCAUUAAAUAAGACUAGCAACAUAUUUUAUUGUUUAGCUACAUAAUUUAUCAUCCAUCUCUUCGUCUUACCUAUUAAUCUUUUAUAGCAAGAAUUUUUAUCAUGUUGUGUAUUUAAUUAUUAUUUUUCUUCCUACAAAUUAAAUAUAGAUAUUUUGUGAGUAUUUGAUUUGAAAGAAAUAAAGAUGGGAUACUGGAAAGCAAAGGUUCUUCCAAAGAUCAAGCAGAUCUUUGAUAAAAAUGGACCCAAGAAGACUGCUGCUGCUGAGGCAUGCAAGACUUUUGAUGAAGCUAAGGUAAAAAAUAAAUAUAUUUAUCAAAUAUUUUAAUUUGUUAUAACAGAUAAUAUGUCUUUAUUUAAUGUUUUUUUAAAGCCUGAAUAAGUUUAUAAGUCUCAAAAAAAAAUAUUCAAGAGAGCAAAUAAAGGGUAAAAUAGUAAAUUAUUUAUUUUAUUUAUGAUUUUUUAAGAGACAUGUAAAGGGAUAAUUAAUAUGUGAUGGAGGAGAAUUAUCUCAUAAAAUCAUUUUUUUGUUAAAAAGAAUUAGAAUCAAGAAAAAAUAUAAUAUUUUUUACACAAAUAUCUUAGAUUUUAUAUACUGAUGAUGAUGUAAAAAUCCUUUAUAUUAUCACAUCAUUUAAAUAACUUUAUUUGAUAGUAUACUAAUGAUAUAUAAAAAAAAUAUUAUAUUAUCAAUACAUAUAACUUAAUUCUAUAAAAACAAUUAAUAUGAAUUAUUGUCUGCUAAAUUUCAGGAGGAGUAUAGCAAGGAGUUUGAAGAGAAGAAGACUGAGCUUCAACCCAAAGUUAUUGAAAUUUAUGAAGCUGCUGCAGUUGAGAUCAAGGUUUAUUUUUUUAAUACACUUUAUUUAUUUAUUUGUACUUUAAUAUUAUGCAAAAUUUAGCAGAAUUAUUAAAUAGUAUUCUUUUUGUUUCAAAAUGAAUGUCUAAAUAUAUUUUUUAUUAAAUAUUAAUUCUUCUUAAUAUGCUAUUUUAAAAAAAAUAUCUAAUAAAUUAGGGUAACUAAAUUAUACCAUUACUAAAAAAAGUCCCGAUUUUUCACUAGAAAAUGUUAAUAGUUAUUUCCACAAAAAUUUGAAUUGAAUCGUUGAGAAAAGAUUAAAUGGUGAGGAUUUCAUACACAAAAAUUAGGAAGCUUCCCCUAUUUUAGUGAGAAUCUAUUUCUCCUUAUGCAUCUUCUCAGUGAACUGGUUCGAUGAAAAAUGAGCUGAAGAAAAUCAUGUUGUACCGAAAAAUCUUUGUUUCUAGUGGUGACCUUACAUUUAUUAUUUUUUAAUGGAGGUGAAAUGAAUUGAAGUGACACAUAAUAAUUUUUAGAGGAAUAAAGUAUAUACAUUUCAAGUUGUGAUAACAAUAAUCGAAAUAUAGAUGUACGAUAAUAAAUCUUACACAUGUAGCAAAAAAUGAGUGCACUGAACUAGGUCUUUUUUUUUUUAUUAUUAUGAUGAUAUACAGAGUUUAGUGAAGGAACGAAAGGGUGCAGGGCUGAAGAAAAACUCAGAUGGGGUUCAGAAAUUCCUUGAUGAGCUUGUCAAGAUUGGUAAGUAAUUAUUUUUUGUAAAUUUAGAAAUAUAUUUAAGGGAUUGUGACUAAAUUUUGGUGUAUGUACUUGAAGAAUUUCCGGGAUCAAAAGCUGUUAGCGAAGCAAGUUCAAACUUUGGGCCUUCAUAUGUAUCCGGCCCAAUUCUGUUUGUGUUGGAAAAAGUUUCCACUUUUAUAGUCGUCACAGAAGAUAAGAAGGGAGAGGAACCCGCAGCUGCUGCUGAUGACGUGCAUGCAACAGCCACGUCGGUGAAGGAGAAGGAGAUAGUUAUUGAGGAGGCUGGAGAAUCAAACAAGGAUGAAGAACCUGCUGCUGACGUGACACCUACAGUCAAGGUGGAAGCACCUGCUGACGUGACACCUGCAACUAAGGUGGAAGAAGCACCCAAGGCGUGAUGAUCCAAUGUACUAAAAUUAUGUGCCGAGUCCGGAGAAGGACCAAAGGCUUGAUGAAUAUAUAUAUAUAUAUAUAUGUAUACUUCAAUUUGUCUCUGUGUCUAAAAAUUGCUUUUUUAUUUUUAUUUACUGUGAG
Molecule: long non-coding RNA, 7180 nt
Filed under: Solanum tuberosum (potato)
Lineage: Eukaryota; Viridiplantae; Streptophyta; Magnoliopsida; Solanales; Solanaceae
Description: long non-coding RNA (STUB_LNC009506)
Source: RNAcentral